UUUCGUGCUCUAUACAUGCAGUCGAGCGAAUGGAUUAAGAGCUUGCUCUUAUGAAGUUAGCGGCGGACGGGUGAGUAACACGUGGGUAACCUGCCCAUAAGACUGGGAUAACUCCGGGAAACCGGGGCUAAUACCGGAUAACAUUUUGAACCGCAUGGUUCGAAAUUGAAAGGCGGCUUCGGCUGUCACUUAUGGAUGGACCCGCGUCGCAUUAGCUAGUUGGUGAGGUAACGGCUCACCAAGGCAACGAUGCGUAGCCGACCUGAGAGGGUGAUCGGCCACACUGGGACUGAGACACGGCCCAGACUCCUACGGGAGGCAGCAGUAGGGAAUCUUCCGCAAUGGACGAAAGUCUGACGGAGCAACGCCGCGUGAGUGAUGAAGGCUUUCGGGUCGUAAAACUCUGUUGUUAGGGAAGAACAAGUGCUAGUUGAAUAAGCUGGCACCUUGACGGUACCUAACCAGAAAGCCACGGCUAACUACGUGCCAGCAGCCGCGGUAAUACGUAGGUGGCAAGCGUUAUCCGGAAUUAUUGGGCGUAAAGCGCGCGCAGGUGGUUUCUUAAGUCUGAUGUGAAAGCCCACGGCUCAACCGUGGAGGGUCAUUGGAAACUGGGAGACUUGAGUGCAGAAGAGGAAAGUGGAAUUCCAUGUGUAGCGGUGAAAUGCGUAGAGAUAUGGAGGAACACCAGUGGCGAAAGCGACUUUCUGGUCUGUAACUGACACUGAGCGCGAAAGCGUGGGGAGCAACAGGAUUAGAUACCCUGGUAGUCCACGCCGUAACGAUGAGUGCUAAGUGUUAGAGGGUUUCCGCCCUUUAGUGCUGAAGUUAACGCAUUAAGCACUCCGCCUGGGGAGUACGCGCAAGCUGAAACUCAAAGAAUGACGGGGCUCGCACAGCGUGAGCAUGUGUUUAUCGAGCACGCGAGACUACAGUCUGACAUCUCUGACACCUAAGAUAGCUCUCUCGAGCGAUGACAGUGGUGCAUGGUGUCGUCAGCUCAGUCUGAAGGUAGUUAGUCCGCACGAGCACCUGACUAGUGCAUCAUUAGUGUCACUAGGUACUGCGGUACACCGAGACGUG
RNAcentral lists this ribosomal RNA (1083 nucleotides) under Bacillus manliponensis. Its description in RNAcentral is "bacterial SSU rRNA". It matches the Rfam family "Bacterial small subunit ribosomal RNA", at positions 40 to 1158 of the family's 1533-position model. Lineage: Bacteria; Bacillati; Bacillota; Bacilli; Caryophanales; Bacillaceae. The record is from RNAcentral.